UACGUAGGGGCCGAGCGUUGUCCGGAGUUAUUGGGCGUAAAGCGCGCGCAGGCGGCUUCGCGCGCCCGCCGUGAAAGCCCCCGGCUUAACCGGGGAGAGUCGGUGGGGACGGCGGAGCUUGAGGGCGGGAGAGGUCGGUGGAAUUCCCGGUGUAGUGGUGAAAUGCGUAGAGAUCGGGAGGAACACCAGUGGCGAAGGCGACUACCUGGACCAGCACUGACACUGAGGCACGAAAGCGUGGGGAGCAAACAGG
Molecule: ribosomal RNA, 253 nt
Filed under: uncultured bacterium
Lineage: Bacteria
Description: partial 16S ribosomal RNA
Rfam family: Bacterial small subunit ribosomal RNA
Source: RNAcentral